RNAcentral lists this ribosomal RNA (2902 nucleotides) under Klebsiella pneumoniae. RNAcentral's name for it is "23S ribosomal RNA". It matches the Rfam family "Bacterial large subunit ribosomal RNA". The record is from RNAcentral. Lineage: Bacteria; Pseudomonadati; Pseudomonadota; Gammaproteobacteria; Enterobacterales; Enterobacteriaceae.
GGUUAAGCGACUAAGCGUACACGGUGGAUGCCCUGGCAGUCAGAGGCGAUGAAGGACGUGCUAAUCUGCGAAAAGCGUCGGUAAGGUGAUAUGAACCGUUAUAACCGGCGAUGUCCGAAUGGGGAAACCCAGUGCAAUUCGUUGCACUAUCGUUAACUGAAUACAUAGGUUAACGAGGCGAACCGGGGGAACUGAAACAUCUAAGUACCCCGAGGAAAAAAAAUCAACCGAGAUUCCCCCAGUAGCGGCGAGCGAACGGGGAGCAGCCCAGAGUCUGAAUCAGCUUGUGUGUUAGUGGAACGGUCUGGAAAGUCCGACGGUACAGGGUGAUAGUCCCGUACACCAAAAUGCACAGGCUGUGAACUCGAAGAGUAGGGCGGGACACGUGGUAUCCUGUCUGAAUAUGGGGGGACCAUCCUCCAAGGCUAAAUACUCCUGACUGACCGAUAGUGAACCAGUACCGUGAGGGAAAGGCGAAAAGAACCCCGGCGAGGGGAGUGAAAAAGAACCUGAAACCGUGUACGUACAAGCAGUGGGAGCACCUUCGGGUGUGACUGCGUACCUUUUGUAUAAUGGGUCAGCGACUUAUAUUCUGUAGCAAGGUUAACCGUAUAGGGGAGCCGCAGGGAAACCGAGUCUUAACUGGGCGUUAAGUUGCAGGGUAUAGACCCGAAACCCGGUGAUCUAGCCAUGGGCAGGUUGAAGGUUGGGUAACACUAACUGGAGGACCGAACCGACUAAUGUUGAAAAAUUAGCGGAUGACUUGUGGCUGGGGGUGAAAGGCCAAUCAAACCGGGAGAUAGCUGGUUCUCCCCGAAAGCUAUUUAGGUAGCGCCUCGUGAACUCAUCUUCGGGGGUAGAGCACUGUUUCGGCUAGGGGGUCAUCCCGACUUACCAACCCGAUGCAAACUACGAAUACCGAAGAAUGUUAUCACGGGAGACACACGGCGGGUGCUAACGUCCGUCGUGAAGAGGGAAACAACCCAGACCGCCAGCUAAGGUCCCAAAGUCAUGGUUAAGUGGGAAACGAUGUGGGAAGGCACAGACAGCCAGGAUGUUGGCUUAGAAGCAGCCAUCAUUUAAAGAAAGCGUAAUAGCUCACUGGUCGAGUCGGCCUGCGCGGAAGAUGUAACGGGGCUAAACCAUGCACCGAAGCUGCGGCAGCGACACUAUGUGUUGUUGGGUAGGGGAGCGUUCUGUAAGCCUGCGAAGGUGUGCUGUGAGGCAUGCUGGAGGUAUCAGAAGUGCGAAUGCUGACAUAAGUAACGAUAAAGCGGGUGAAAAGCCCGCUCGCCGGAAGACCAAGGGUUCCUGUCCAACGUUAAUCGGGGCAGGGUGAGUCGACCCCUAAGGCGAGGCCGAAAGGCGUAGUCGAUGGGAAACAGGUUAAUAUUCCUGUACUUGGUGUUACUGCGAAGGGGGGACGGAGAAGGCUAUGUUAGCCGGGCGACGGUUGUCCCGGUUUAAGCAUGUAGGCUGGUUAUCCAGGCAAAUCCGGAUAAUCAAGGCUGAGGUGUGAUGACGAGGCACUACGGUGCUGAAGUAACAAAUGCCCUGCUUCCAGGAAAAGCCUCUAAGCAUCAGGUAACAUCAAAUCGUACCCCAAACCGACACAGGUGGUCAGGUAGAGAAUACCAAGGCGCUUGAGAGAACUCGGGUGAAGGAACUAGGCAAAAUGGUGCCGUAACUUCGGGAGAAGGCACGCUGGUGUGUAGGUGAAGUCCCUGCGGAUGGAGCUGAGACCAGUCGAAGAUACCAGCUGGCUGCAACUGUUUAUUAAAAACACAGCACUGUGCAAACACGAAAGUGGACGUAUACGGUGUGACGCCUGCCCGGUGCCGGAAGGUUAAUUGAUGGGGUUAUCCGUAAGGAGAAGCUCUUGAUCGAAGCCCCGGUAAACGGCGGCCGUAACUAUAACGGUCCUAAGGUAGCGAAAUUCCUUGUCGGGUAAGUUCCGACCUGCACGAAUGGCGUAAUGAUGGCCAGGCUGUCUCCACCCGAGACUCAGUGAAAUUGAACUCGCUGUGAAGAUGCAGUGUACCCGCGGCAAGACGGAAAGACCCCGUGAACCUUUACUAUAGCUUGACACUGAACAUUGAGCCUUGAUGUGUAGGAUAGGUGGGAGGCUUUGAAGCGUGGACGCCAGUCUGCGUGGAGCCAACCUUGAAAUACCACCCUUUAAUGUUUGAUGUUCUAACGUUGGCCCCUUACCGGGGUUGCGGACAGUGUCUGGUGGGUAGUUUGACUGGGGCGGUCUCCUCCCAAAGCGUAACGGAGGAGCACGAAGGUUAGCUAAUCCUGGUCGGACAUCAGGAGGUUAGUGCAAUGGCAUAAGCUAGCUUGACUGCGAGCGUGACGGCGCGAGCAGGUGCGAAAGCAGGUCAUAGUGAUCCGGUGGUUCUGAAUGGAAGGGCCAUCGCUCAACGGAUAAAAGGUACUCCGGGGAUAACAGGCUGAUACCGCCCAAGAGUUCAUAUCGACGGCGGUGUUUGGCACCUCGAUGUCGGCUCAUCACAUCCUGGGGCUGAAGUAGGUCCCAAGGGUAUGGCUGUUCGCCAUUUAAAGUGGUACGCGAGCUGGGUUUAGAACGUCGUGAGACAGUUCGGUCCCUAUCUGCCGUGGGCGCUGGAGAAUUGAGGGGGGCUGCUCCUAGUACGAGAGGACCGGAGUGGACGCAUCACUGGUGUUCGGGUUGUCAUGCCAAUGGCACUGCCCGGUAGCUAAAUGCGGAAGAGAUAAGUGCUGAAAGCAUCUAAGCACGAAACUUGCCCCGAGAUGAGUUCUCCCUGAGACUUUAAGUCUCCUGAAGGAACGUUAAAGACGAUGACGUUGAUAGGCCGGGUGUGUAAGCGCAGCGAUGCGUUGAGCUAACCGGUACUAAUGAACCGUGAGGCUUAACCUU